Molecule: small RNA, 85 nt
Filed under: Salmonella enterica
Lineage: Bacteria; Pseudomonadati; Pseudomonadota; Gammaproteobacteria; Enterobacterales; Enterobacteriaceae
Description: partial RtT sRNA
Rfam family: RtT RNA
About the family: This family represents a bacterial cis-regulatory element known as RtT RNA.
Source: RNAcentral
CGUGUCGAACGCAGUGAGACAACGGAGCCGCUUGCGGCGACGGCCCGAAGGGCGAGCGAAGCGAGUCAUCCUGCACGACCCACCA